Molecule: ribosomal RNA, 356 nt
Filed under: uncultured bacterium
Lineage: Bacteria
Description: bacterial SSU rRNA
Rfam family: Bacterial small subunit ribosomal RNA
Source: RNAcentral
AGAGGGUGCAAGCGUUAAUCGGAAUUACUGGGCGUAAAGCGCGCGUAGGUGGUUAUUUAAGUCCGUUGUGAAAGCCCUGGGCUCAACCUGGGAACUGCAGUGGAUACUGGAUGACUAGAAUGUGGUAGAGGGUAGCGGAAUUCCUGGUGUAGCAGUGGAAUGCGUAGAGAUCAGGAGGAACAUCCAUGGCGAAGGCAGCUACCUGGACCAACAUUGACACUGAGGCACGANAGCGUGGGGAGCANACAGGAUUAGAUACCCUGGUAGUCCACGCCCUANACGAUGCGNACUGGAUGUUGAGUGCNAUUUGGCGCGCAGUAUCGAAGCUAACGCGUUNNGUUCGCCGCCUGGGGAGU